CUGCUAAGCAAGAAAGAUUCAAUAUUCGCCUAAUUUGUCAACCAUCCAAUUCUUCGGAUUUCAACAUUUUUGACUUUCAACAUUCUUGACUUGGAUUUUUUUCAAGCUAUUCAAGUAAUUCAAUACAAGAAGAAUGUAAGAACAAUACAAACUCUAAUUCCAGCAGUGCAAGAGGCAUUCAUGGAGUAUUCGGUAUACAAAGCAAACCGAAUGUUUCUAACACUACAAAGUGUUUUGAUGGAAGCUAUGAAGGUGACAAGUUCAAAAUUCCUCACAUGCAAAAUGAAACAUUAGAAAGAGAAGAUCGGCUGCCAACUUCUAUCCCUUGUGAUCCAUCUUUGCUAGAUGAAGCCGAGGCUACUAUUGCUGCAGCAAACAAUUAGAAUUAUGCUAGUUAGCUUAACCAGUAGACGAGCAUGGUUGUAACAAUUAGAACUAAAGCUAUUUAUCUUA
Molecule: long non-coding RNA, 453 nt
Organism: Panicum hallii
Lineage: Eukaryota; Viridiplantae; Streptophyta; Magnoliopsida; Poales; Poaceae
Exons: 2
Source: RefSeq, a predicted model, not a curated record